GGUUACAGUAACCACUAAAGAUAUUUAGAUAAGGCAACAUAGUCCGAUAGUAGAAUUGCAUCCAACCACACCAAAGAAAGAUGUCUUGAACAGUAGAAUGAAGAGCCCUCUAAUGGUUAUAGAGAAUAAAACUCCAAAAGCUCAAGAAAUAAGAUAUAAUCCAGGCAACCCAUAGAUAUAAUCCAAGAGCAAGGUUAUUUUAAAAUUG
RNAcentral lists this long non-coding RNA (208 nucleotides) under Elaeis guineensis (African oil palm). RNAcentral's name for it is "long non-coding RNA (EGUI_LNC028001)". The record is from RNAcentral. Lineage: Eukaryota; Viridiplantae; Streptophyta; Magnoliopsida; Arecales; Arecaceae.